AUAGAGUCAAUCCUCAACAAAGAAACACAACAAAAACUCUAUUUGCUUUUCCAUCUCUUAAGAAAAUACAUUUCUCCUCCAUCUCUUUAGCCAUGAUGGGGAAAGACUUGGACAAAAAACAUGGUGUUGUUAUCAAUACCGUCACACCAGCACUUGAGCAAUCAAAAAAUAUGGUGACUCAAGAAGAAAACAACUAAUAAAGCUUUAAGGAGUUAACGGAACAGUUGCAGAAGUAAAGAGAGGAGAACAUGCUUUAUGUACAACUUCAUUGUUUCUAUAGAUUUAUUCAGAUUCUAAUGAUGAAUCUGAAGAAGAAAGGGGGGGCAGGAGGAGAAGGGGAAGGAGAAGAAUAAGAAGAAUGAACAGAAAAGAUUGUUUCAGGAAGCCAUAAGAGUAAGUGAGAAUGAGAGCUUAUUCAUUAUCUGAAUUGUAUUAUUAUGUGAGUUACAUGAUCAUGAAUAUAUAGUUAUUUUAUAGUCAUAACUAUUAGCUGAAUCUGUAACUACUACUGCUAUAACUAAUUCAUACUCUGUAGUAACUAACUUCCAGAAUAGUUUGACAAUUAGAGUUAGUUGUAGUUAGAAGCUUCUUUUUUCUUGAUUCUACAUAUUAUUCACUUGUAUGCAUUUAUCAACGCUCCCUCUUAAACUUGAUUUUGGAAAAUAGAUUGAUAAGACCAUGUUUGGACAUGAGAUAAACAUGUUGAACUUUAGUGAGACCCUUGGUAAAUGUAUCUGCUGGCUAAUCAUGAGUUGAAAUAUAUUGAGUUUGGACUAGUCCUUGUUAUAUCUUCUCUCUAAUAAAAUGAUAAUUUAUCUCUAUUUGUUUUGUCCUCCCAUGGUAGACUGAAUUUCCAGCUAUCUAUAGAGUAGCUUUGUUGUCACUAAAUAUAAUUACACCUAGAUCCUUGAUUAAGCCAAUAAACCAUGUCAACUCUGUAACUGUUGAUGCUAAGCUUCUAUACUUUGAUUCAUCGAAUAUCCUAGAGACAGCUGAUUUCUUCUUUAACUUUCAAAAGACUAGAGAGUCACCUAGCUUAAUUGUAUAGCCUGUUAUAGAUUUCGUGGAGAAGGCACAUAUAGCCUAGUCUGCAUCACAGUGAGCAAUAAGAAUAUCCUUCUUAGUGCUUGACAUCAAAAGUCCUUGACCUGGUUUUUCUUUUAUAUACCUAGUGAUUAUUAGUGCAAUAUUUAUAUCUGAUUGCUUUGGCUGUUAUAGGAACUGUCUCAAAUUUUGCACUCUGUAGGCUAUAUCUGGCCUAGUCAUAGUAAGAUAGAGCAAUUUUCCCAUUAUCCUUUAUAUUUUUCUUGAUCUGUUAGGUUGUCAUCACUGUAACUUGUACCCUUUGAACGAUUUUGAUCAUACUCAACUGUUGUUAGCUUUACUGUUGUGUCUAUAGGUGUAGGAGUUUGUUUAGCAGCAGUAAAUCCUGAUCUGAAAUUAGUUCAACUGCAUACUUUCUUUGGUGCAUCAUAAUUCCUUACUUAGACCUUGCAAACUAAAUGCCAAAUCUUUUAUUUCGAAGGCUUUGUGCAGAGAUACUUUGGUUUUAAUUAUCUAAUCUAAUCUGCUUUCAGUAACUAGUAUGGCAUCCAUAUAUACUAGUGUAAUUAUCACUCCAUCACUUAACUCUUUGAUGUAGAAAGAAUGAUCAUACUGGCAUUAUCAGAACUUACACUUGAUAAGAGCCUGAUACAACUUUGCAUUCCAUUACCUUGGAGCUUGUUUCAAUCUAUACAAGGAUUUUGAAAGUCUGCAUACUUGUAUCCCUCCUGACUUUUAAAACCUUGUAGGAGUUCCAUGUAAAUUCCAUCAUCUAAAUCACCUAGUAUAAAAACAUUAAAGACAUCUAUUUAAUGGAUGUGGCAUUUCCUAGCUAAUGCAAUAGCCAACAUAUUCCUAAGAGUGACCAUUUUAAUGACCGGACUAAAUAUUUCUUGGUAGUCUAUCCCCUCUUUUUGGUUGAAACCUUUAGCUACCAACCUUGCCUUAAAUCUUUCAAUCUCUCAUGAGGCUUUGUACUUGACUUUAUAGAUCCAUUUGCAGCCUAUUAGUUGUGUCCAACCGGUAAUGUCACAACCUGCCAAGUUUUAUUAUUUUCAAGGACAACUAUUUCAUUCUACAUAGUCUCAAUUCACCUAGGUUCCUUGCUAGCAACUGCAUAAGAAGUAGGUUCCACAAUGUUAGAGAAGAAAGAUAAGUAACAUUGAUAUUUGGUAGAUAUAUUGUUAUAAGAUACAUAGUCAGAAAGAGGAUAUGUCACAGUGUCAUUGAUGCUCAAUGAUAUAAAAUCCUUCAUCCAUCCAGGAGGAUGUGUUCCUCUACUAGAUUUUCUUUGAGGUAGUUACGGCCUGCUAGUUGAUGCUCUUGUUGUGGUAGGCUGAUGUACUUCAGAAGUUACAGGAACGUGAACUAUAGGUUGAGAAGAUAUAGUUAUAUCUUACUCAUUCAGGUCAAAUCUUUAUGUACUUGUUGAAGCUGGUGAUCUAUCUGAAGCUGAACUUUGGAUGGUUGUUGCAGCUAGUAUUGCAUUUAAUAUCUUAGUGUUGAGAUGAGAAAAGAUUGAUUGGUCUGCUGUUGGCAUAUCUGUCUUGAAGGGAAUAUCAUCUUCUUUAAAUAUAACAUCCCUAUUGACAAAAAAGAUCUUGUUAUCUAGAUUAAAUAGAAUGUAACCUUUCUUAGUUUCAAAGUAGCUCAUAUGGACAGCUUUGAUUGACCUAGACUUGAGUUUAUCAGUUUCAUGUACAUUUUUAGCCUAACAAAAACAUCCUAGAACUUUUAUAUGAUCUAGAUUAGGAACGUGACUAUACAAUCUUUCAUAGGGAUUCAUGAAACCAAUUACAGAAUAAGGGAUUUUGUUUAUAAGAUAAGCAGCAGCCUUAACACAACGUCCCCAAAAAUUUAGAGGUAUAUUAGCUGAAGUUUAAUUGCUCUUGUCAUUUAUAAAAGGUGUCUAUAUUUCCUCUUAGCUACACUAUUUUGUUGAGGUGUAUAUGAAUAAGUGAUUUGGUGUAUAAUACCUAGAUCGCCAAACAAAUCAGUUCAUAUUUUGUUGACAAAUUUUGUAUCAUUGUCUGUUUUAAUAACUUUAACCAUGCUAUCAAAUUGAGUCAGAACAUAGGAAGUGAAAUGCUUAAUGACAAUAAUCACAUUAGACUUCAAUUUUAAUAGAAACACCCAUGUCAUGCUUGUAAAGUCAUCUACAACAGUUAAAAAAGAUUUGUUAUCAUCUUAGGUAAUGCCAUAUUUUGGUAUGUAGCAGGCUCAGAUAUUGAUCUUUUGUCAAAAAUAUCAAUAUCUGUAACCAUAUGAUUUAUAUCUCAUGUGUCAAUAAUCUACUCAUGUGAAUUAUUGCAUACUAACAAGGCACUACUUGUACCUGUCAUAUGGACUGAAUUAGCAACAGGCAUUCCAAAUAAAACUUGAAUUUGUUGCUUCAGUAUUUUGCAUGUCUGGUUAUAUUAUUUAGGUGUGAAUGUAGGAGGCAUAGGUACCAAAGCUGGUCUAUGCUUAGAUCCAUGAGAAGUGGAUGGCUCAGUAUUGCUAAGUUGUCCAUUUGACGACUUGCUAGAACCUUUUAGGCCUAAACUAUCAUGUUUUUCCAUUGAUUUGAUGGUAAUCACUUACUUAAUGCUCAUUUGUGUAGGUAAAGUUAAAAAGGAAAGAUAAGAAAGUCAUUCAAGUCAACAAAAGGCCAAA
RNAcentral lists this long non-coding RNA (3699 nucleotides) under Capsicum annuum. RNAcentral describes it as "long non-coding RNA (CANN_LNC017978)". The record is from RNAcentral. Lineage: Eukaryota; Viridiplantae; Streptophyta; Magnoliopsida; Solanales; Solanaceae.